UGAGCAAUCUGCCCUUCACAUCGGAAUAACCAUUGGAAACGGUGGCUAAUACCGAAUAUGACUUCGGAUCGCAUGAUCUGAAGUGGAAAGCUCCGGCGGUGAAGGAUGAGCUCGCGGCCUAUCAGCUUGUUGGUGAGGUAAUGGCUUACCAAGACGACGACGGGUAGCCGGCCUGAGAGGGUGACCCGGCCACACUGGGACUGAGACACGGCCCAGACCUCGUACGGGGAGG
RNAcentral lists this ribosomal RNA (232 nucleotides) under uncultured bacterium. RNAcentral's name for it is "partial 16S ribosomal RNA". It matches the Rfam family "Bacterial small subunit ribosomal RNA", at positions 118 to 347 of the family's 1533-position model. The record is from RNAcentral.